Molecule: ribosomal RNA, 116 nt
Filed under: Thermales bacterium
Lineage: Bacteria; Thermotogati; Deinococcota; Deinococci; Thermales
Source: RNAcentral
ACUGGUUUUUCAAGGGUUAUUGCAACAACCUUUCCCAUUCCGAACAGGGUCUUGAAACAUAAUUCCGCCGAAGAUACUAGAAUGCAGAUUCUGGGGAAAAUAGGCCAAAGCCGGUA